UAAUAAAAUCCUCAAAAUUAUUAGGUCCCUAAAAUGAUUAAGUUAUAGUGAUAACUAAGUCAUAGCCUCCCAUUAAGUGAGUGAUAAUGAGUCCAUUAGUUUAAUAAUCAUUGGAGGCCCAAAGGCCUGCUGCUUAUUGACUAAUGGAAUUAUCAUUCAUAGUAUGAUAAUUUCAUUUGAGUCUUUCUGAUGGUGGUCAGGUUGGCCGGCCAAAGUUGGGCCUGAUC
This 227-nucleotide long non-coding RNA is filed under the name Elaeis guineensis (African oil palm). RNAcentral describes it as "long non-coding RNA (EGUI_LNC059707)". The record is from RNAcentral. Lineage: Eukaryota; Viridiplantae; Streptophyta; Magnoliopsida; Arecales; Arecaceae.